This 497-nucleotide ribosomal RNA is filed under the name uncultured bacterium. Its description in RNAcentral is "partial 16S ribosomal RNA". It matches the Rfam family "Bacterial small subunit ribosomal RNA", at positions 28 to 507 of the family's 1533-position model. The record is from RNAcentral.
GACGAACGCUGGCGGCGUGCCUAAUACAUGCAAGUUGAGCGCUGAAGGUUGGUACUUGUACCAACUGGAUGAGCAGCGAACGGGUGAGUAACGCGUGGGGAAUCUGCCUUUGAGCGGGGGACAACAUUUGGAAACGAAUGCUAAUACCGCAUAAAAACUUUAAACACAAGUUUUAAGUUUGAAAGAUGCAAUUGCAUCACUCAAAGAUGAUCCCGCGUUGUAUUAGCUAGUUGGUGAGGUAAAGGCUCACCAAGGCGAUGAUACAUAGCCGACCUGAGAGGGUGAUCGGCCACAUUGGGACUGAGACACGGCCCAAACUCCUACGGGAGGCAGCAGUAGGGAAUCUUCGGCAAUGGACGAAAGUCUGGCCGAGCAACGCCGCGUGAGUGAAGAAAGUUUUCGGAUCGUAAAACUCUGUUGGUAGAGAAGAACGUUGGUGAGAGUGGAAAGCUCAUCAAGUGACGGUAACUACCCAGAAAGGGACGGCUAACUACGUG